CUCGGAGUUUGAUCCUGGCUCAGAUUGAACGCUGGCGGCAUGCCUUACACAUGCAAGUCGAACGGUAACGCGGGGCAACCUGGCGACGAGUGGCGAACGGGUGAGUAAUAUAUCGGAACGUGCCCAGUAGUGGGGGAUAGCCCGGCGAAAGCCGGAUUAAUACCGCAUGAGACCUGAGGGUGAAAGCGGGGGAUCGCAAGACCUCGCGCUAUUGGAGCGGCCGAUAUCAGAUUAGCUAGUUGGUGGGGUAAAGGCCUACCAAGGCAACGAUCUGUAGUUGGUCUGAGAGGACGACCAGCCACACUGGAACUGAGACACGGUCCAGACUCCUACGGGAGGCAGCAGUGGGGAAUUUUGGACAAUGGACGCAAGUCUGAUCCAGCCCAUUCCCGCGUGCAGGAU
Molecule: ribosomal RNA, 402 nt
Filed under: uncultured Burkholderiales bacterium
Lineage: Bacteria; Pseudomonadati; Pseudomonadota; Betaproteobacteria; Burkholderiales
Description: bacterial SSU rRNA
Rfam family: Bacterial small subunit ribosomal RNA
Source: RNAcentral